This 798-nucleotide long non-coding RNA is filed under the name Phasianus colchicus (ring-necked pheasant). Its description in RNAcentral is "lncRNA (ENSPCLG00000015456.1)". Lineage: Eukaryota; Metazoa; Chordata; Aves; Galliformes; Phasianidae. The record is from RNAcentral.
GAGUAGAUUGCCUGUAUUUUUCAUUCCUAUUCACCACUCCUGAAGUAUUGAAAAUACUAAUAAAUGUCAUGGAAACCACUGUGAGAUCUCCGUGGUGAUACUGGUUGUGUAUAUGCUGCAGGGAAACUGUUCUGUACACUAAGGUCUGCAGGUCGAGGCUGCAAACCUUGGCCCUGCCUGACACUGACUCAAGGGGACUUCAGGAAACAUCAUCUCUGUGUUCUUUGAGAGGAAAAAUGAGCUUGCCAAGUGUCGAUGUACUCCAUUAACCCACUUUAUCAGAUGAUGACUGAGAAAUUCGGGGAGGAAAGUCUGAAGUGCUUCAUGCCAAUGCUCAGUUUUUCAGUGUCCACCGCAAAGCCAUGGUCCUCCCUGGAGAGUGUUGAACCUCGCUGCACUCACACAACAUCCAUGGGAACUGGCGAGCACCAACAAAGAUUGUGCAGAGUUAGUUGAUGUUACUUACAGCGCACCAUAGCCGGUGUCUAUCUGCAGAUCAGCUUGCAGCUUCAUGUGAGGCAUCCAGUUUCUUGAGGGAUGAAAAGCAUAGUGUGGAGCUUUAAGGAUCAGCUAUGUCCAACUCAUAACUGAAUUGGCUUAGCAGCACAGCAUAGACUGAAAAGGUCACAGUGAUUUUGGGUACUCAAAGUGCCUCCACCUGGCUCUUUUCUGGUUGAGUUUGGGAAUAUCUGCUGCCAUCAGGUGACCAUUUCAAAGGGUGCUUACCAAUGAAGCUACUGAAGACAUGUGCAGAAUACAAAGAAAAGAAAUAAAUCUUCUGUCCUUCCUUGAAGAACA